Molecule: long non-coding RNA, 520 nt
Organism: Dermochelys coriacea (leatherback sea turtle)
Lineage: Eukaryota; Metazoa; Chordata; Testudines; Dermochelyidae
Exons: 2
Source: RefSeq, a predicted model, not a curated record
UUUACUCAUAUAACUAGAUUGUUCUUUUUAUUCUCACACUCUAAAUCUAAGCAUCUUAAACGUGCAGUGUAACAGCAUAAACCGAUGCCUUUUGUAACAAAACAAAAAUGAUUAGACUGAUGCACAGAAACCUUCAUUCUUUCCAUAUAGUUUAAUGUAUUUCUAAAAAAGAGAUGUAUACCCUUAAUCAAAACAGUCCAUGAACAGCAAAGUGUGUAUUUAGAGUAAUUAUGUAUUGAACCUAAUUUAUAAACAGCAGUACUAUAGAGCUCCUUAGACACCUGCAGGUAAAAUAAAUAUCCCAGGAGUGAGGUUAUAGUCACCAGGAUUCUAAAGCAUUGCCUAUGAAAUGUUACAAUUCUAAAGUGCUUAAACUAUAGUAGUAAUUUGCUAAUCCACGCACCCUAAAUCUCAUGCUUUAUAAUCUGGACCAAAAAUUGUUGGGAUCUCUCAGCAAAGAUUUUGUGGCAGAUACUAGUGUGAUGACUCGGCACACUGUUCAGUUCUGGUCACUCUUUCC